UACCUUCUUUCUUGGCGCUCCUAUCGAUUUCAAGAUGGAAGUGUAUGUUAAAGAAGGGAAAUCAUGCCCUGCAUUGGGUAUUCGGGUCUCCUUCGGUGCUAUUCCAGUGAUCUUUCGAGUAGUGUCAUCCUCUGGGCUCGAGACAUUC
This is a small nucleolar RNA of Ancylostoma ceylanicum, 148 nucleotides long. It matches the Rfam family "Nematode snoRNA ceN88". The record is from Rfam. NCBI's taxonomy places the organism in Eukaryota, Metazoa, Nematoda, Chromadorea, Rhabditida, Ancylostomatidae.